This 460-nucleotide ribosomal RNA is filed under the name uncultured bacterium. RNAcentral's name for it is "partial 16S ribosomal RNA". It matches the Rfam family "Bacterial small subunit ribosomal RNA", at positions 338 to 795 of the family's 1533-position model. The record is from RNAcentral.
CCUACGGGAGGCUGCAGUGAGGAAUAUUGGUCAAUGGGCGGAAGCCUGAACCAGCCAAGUCGCGUGAGGGAUUAAGGCCCUGCGGGUCGUAAACCUCUUUUGCCGGGGAGCAGAGGUCCGGACGUGUCCGGGCCGGGAGAGUACCCGGAGAAAAAGCAUCGGCUAACCCCGUGCCAGCAGCCGCGGUAAUACGGAGGAUGCGAGCGUUAUCCGGAUUUGGUGGGGUUAAAGGGUGCGUAGGCGGGCAUUUAAGCCGGCGGUCAAAUGUCGGGGAUCAACCCCGGCCUGCCGUCGGAACUGGGUGCCUUGAGUGGGCGAGAAGUAUGCGGAAUGCGUGGUGUAGCGGUGAAAUGCAUAGAUAACACGCAGAACCCCGAUUGCGAAGGCAGCAUACCGGCGCCCUACUGACGCUGAGGCACGAAAGUGCGGGUAUCGAACAGGAUUAGAUACCCCAGUAGUC